This 627-nucleotide ribosomal RNA is filed under the name Cortinarius sp. DAVFP 29147. RNAcentral describes it as "eukaryotic LSU rRNA". It matches the Rfam family "Eukaryotic large subunit ribosomal RNA", at positions 1 to 617 of the family's 3401-position model. Lineage: Eukaryota; Fungi; Basidiomycota; Agaricomycetes; Agaricales; Cortinariaceae. The record is from RNAcentral.
GACCUCAAAUCAGGUAGGACUACCCGCUGAACUUAAGCAUAUCAAUAAGCGGAGGAAAAGAAACUAACAAGGAUUCCCCUAGUAACUGCGAGUGAAGCGGGAAAAGCUCAAAUUUAAAAUCUGGCGGUCUUUUGGCUGUCCGAGUUGUAAUCUAGAGAAGUGCUAUCCGCGCUGGACCGUGUACAAGUCUCCUGGAAUGGAGCAUCAUAGAGGGUGAGAAUCCCGUCUUUGACAUGGACUGCCAGGGCUUUGUGAUGUGCUCUCAAAGAGUCGAGUUGUUUGGGAAUGCAGCUCAAAAUGGGUGGUAAAUUCCAUCUAAAGCUAAAUAUUGGCGAGAGACCGAUAGCGAACAAGUACCGUGAGGGAAAGAUGAAAAGAACUUUGGAAAGAGAGUUAAACAGUACGUGAAAUUGCUGAAAGGGAAACGCUUGAAGUCAGUCGCGUCAUCCAGGGAUCAACCUUGCUUUUGCUUGGUGCACUUUCUGGUUUGAUGGGUCAGCAUCAAUUUUGACCAUUGGAAAAAGGUUAAGGGAAUGUGGCAUCUUUGGAUGUGUUAUAGCCCUUGGUCACAUACAAUGGUUGGGAUUGAGGAACUCAGCACGCCGCAAGGCCGGGUUUAAACCACGU